RNAcentral lists this ribosomal RNA (729 nucleotides) under uncultured bacterium. RNAcentral describes it as "bacterial SSU rRNA". It matches the Rfam family "Bacterial small subunit ribosomal RNA", at positions 28 to 754 of the family's 1533-position model. The record is from RNAcentral.
AUUGAACGCUGGCGGCAGGCUUAACACAUGCAAGUCGAACGAUGAAACUCUAGCUUGCUAGAGAUGAUUAGUGGCGGACGGGUGAGUAACAUUUAGGAAUCUGCCUAGUAGUGGGGGAUAGCUCGGGGAAACUCGAAUUAAUACCGCAUACGACCUACGGGUGAAAGGGGGCGCAAGCUCUUGCUAUUAGAUGAGCCUAAAUCAGAUUAGCUAGUUGGUGGGGUAAAGGCCUACCAAGGCGACGAUCUGUAACUGGUCUGAGAGGAUGAUCAGUCACACCGGAACUGAGACACGGUCCGGACUCCUACGGGAGGCAGCAGUGGGGAAUAUUGGACGAUGGGGGCAACCCUGAUCCAGCCAUGCCGCGUGUGUGAAGAAGGCCUUUUGGUUGUAAAGCACUUUAAGCAGGCAGGAGAGGCUAAUGGUUAAUACCCAUUAGAUUAGACGUUACCUGCAGAAUAAGCACCGGCUAACUCUGUGCCAGCAGCCGCGGUAAUACAGAGGGUGCGAGCGUUAAUCGGAUAUUACUGGCCGUCGAUUUAGAGUAGGUGGCUCAUUAAGUCACAUGUGAAAUCCCCGGGCUUACCCUGGGAACUGCAUGUGAUACUGGUGGUGCUAGAAUAUGUGAGAGGGAAGUAGAAUUCCAGGUGUAGCGGUGAAAUGCGUAGAGAUCUGGAGGAAUACCGAUGGCGAAGGCAGCUUCCUGGCAUAAUAUUGACACUGAGAUUC